Molecule: ribosomal RNA, 450 nt
Filed under: uncultured bacterium
Lineage: Bacteria
Description: partial 16S ribosomal RNA
Rfam family: Bacterial small subunit ribosomal RNA
Source: RNAcentral
GUGGGGAAUAUUGGACAAUGGGCGCAAGCCUGAUCCAGCCAUGCCGCGUGUGUGAAGAAGGUCUUCGGAUUGUAAAGCACUUUAAGUUGGGAGGAAGGGCAGUAAGUUAAUACCUUGCUGUUUUGACGUUACCGACAGAAUAAGCACCGGCUAACUACGUGCCAGCAGCCGCGGUAAUACGUAGGGUGCAAGCGUUAAUCGGAAUUACUGGGCGUAAAGCGCGCGUAGGUGGUUUUGUAAGUUGGAGGUGAAAUCCCCGGGCUCAACCUGGGAACUGCCUCCAAAACUGCAUGACUAGAGUACGGUAGAGGGUAGUGGAAUUUCCUGUGUAGCGGUGAAAUGCGUAGAUAUAGGAAGGAACACCAGUGGCGAAGGCGACUACCUGGACUGAUACUGACACUGAGGUGCGAAAGCGUGGGGAGCAAACAGGAUUAGAUACCCUAGUAGUCC